This 497-nucleotide ribosomal RNA is filed under the name uncultured bacterium. Its description in RNAcentral is "partial 16S ribosomal RNA". It matches the Rfam family "Bacterial small subunit ribosomal RNA", at positions 28 to 507 of the family's 1533-position model. The record is from RNAcentral.
GAUGAACGCUGGCGGCGUGCCUAAUACAUGCAAGUCGAGCGAACGGACGAGAAGCUUGCUUCUCUGAUGUUAGCGGCGGACGGGUGAGUAACACGUGGAUAACCUACCUAUAAGACUGGGAUAACUUCGGGAAACCGGAGCUAAUACCGGAUAAUAUUUUGAACCGCAUGGUUCAAAAGUGAAAGACGGUCUUGCUGUCACUUAUAGCUGGAUCCGCGCUGCAUUAGCUAGUUGGUAAGGUAACGGCUUACCAAGGCAACGAUGCAUAACCGACCUGAGAGGGUGGUCGGCCACACUGGAACGGAGACACGGUCCAGACGACUACGGGAGGCAGCAGUAGGGAAUCGUCCGCAAUGGGCGAAAGCCUGACGGAGCGACGCCGCGUGAGUGAUGAAAGUCUUCGGAUCGUAAAACUCUGUUAUUAGGGAAGAACAGAUGUGUAAGUAACUGUGCACAUCUUGACGGUACCUAAUCAGAAAGCCACGGCUAACUACGUG